This 501-nucleotide ribosomal RNA is filed under the name uncultured bacterium. RNAcentral describes it as "partial 16S ribosomal RNA". It matches the Rfam family "Bacterial small subunit ribosomal RNA", at positions 30 to 523 of the family's 1533-position model. The record is from RNAcentral.
AUUGAACGCUGGCGGCAGGCUUAACACAUGCAAGUCGAGCGGAGAUGAGGUGCUUGCACCUUAUCUUAGCGGCGGACGGGUGAGUAAUGCUUAGGAAUCUGCCUAUUAGUGGGGGACAACAUUCCGAAAGGAAUGCUAAUACCGCAUACGUCCUACGGGAGAAAGCAGGGGAUCUUCGGACCUUGCGCUAAUAGAUGAGCCUAAGUCGGAUUAGCUAGUUGGUGGGGUAAAGGCCUACCAAGGCGACGAUCUGUAGCGGGUCUGAGAGGAUGAUCCGCCACACUGGGACUGAGACACGGCCCAGACUCCUACGGGAGGCAGCAGUGGGGAAUAUUGGACAAUGGGGGAAACCCUGAUCCAGCCAUGCCGCGUGUGUGAAGAAGGCCUUAUGGUUGUAAAGCACUUUAAGCGAGGAGGAGGCUACUGAGACUAAUACUCUUGGAUGGUGGACGUUACUCGCAGAAUAAGCACCGGCUAACUCUGUGCCAGCAGCAGCCGCAG